Long non-coding RNA from Carassius auratus (goldfish), 2146 nucleotides. RefSeq lists it as uncharacterized. The record is from RefSeq and is a predicted model, not a curated record. NCBI's taxonomy places the organism in Eukaryota, Metazoa, Chordata, Actinopteri, Cypriniformes, Cyprinidae. The transcript has 9 exons.
GUGCCCUUACGUUCAAGCAAGGAAAAUGUAAAUCGAUUCCUAUUCCUCCAAGCCAUCAUCAACAGUCUCUCUUCACUCUCUUCACAGUCUCUCAAAAAGUUGUUGACUGCUAGCAAAACAUACCUGGGAAGUUCUUCUGAAUGUGAAAGAGGCUUCUCUGUCCUCAAUGCCACUGCCACAGAUGCAAGGAAUGGCCUUCAAGUCAGGAGCCUCUCUGCAGUACUUUUCAUUGACAUUAAUGGCCCCCCUCUCAAGAUGUUUGACGCUUACCCGUAUAUUCAGUCUUGGCUUAGGGAGAAGAGCUUUGACACAAUUAGAACACUGUCUUCUGAUCAAUGUGGAAGCAGCCAAAUAUCUCUAAAUGAAAGAAAACCCGGGUUUAUCUUUGCAACAAUACCCUUCACAAGGUGUUCAGAUGAAGAAAAAAAGAUGCUAAAGCUCCAGAAGAAGGACACAGAUUCAGUUCACAUUAAGAGGAGCAUCCAGCAGGACACACAGAAGAUCAAAAAAAAAGAAUUAAAAAAACAAUUUGGUAAAUGUAACGUGUUUAUAUCUGUAGAUAUAUUGGGAUUAAUCAGAGGAUUACAUCUUAAGUUACUGAAAUAUUGAAGAAAACGUAUCGUAAAGUCAUCAAAGACAUGAGAAGACAUUUACAAUUACCCAUAGAAGGUCUGUGAUACCAUACUCUCACACACCAUGGACCAGUUCUCCUUCACAAACACCUUGUUAGUGUCACUGUGCUUCAAGCAGACAGGUUUGAACAGGACACAAUGGUGUUUCCUGAAGAUGCACUGAGCAGGACUUUGAAGGUCUAUCCAGAGCUCAGUGAGAGUAAGCUGAAGACAGAGCUUAGUCUCAUCUACUGCAAGGAAGAGUUCAGAAGCUCUCGUGCUGCUGUGGACCUUCUCCAGCUGUUUAUGGAGAACAAUCUUGAGGAAUAUUUUAAGAGGAGGAAAUAUGAUGAGGAAAAAAGGGAAAUGAUUCAAAUAAAGACAGACAUUGUAAAUGAUAAUGUUCAGAAGCUUUAAGAAGGAAAUACUUGUGUUCAAACAUCUCAUGAUUUACCCCCAAACAUACAGGAUUGAUGGAAAGAAUAAUAUUAAUUUCUAAAUGUCCUAGUUUGUCAUACACUGCUCCACACUCCAGUCUCGUGUGUGGCAUUAAUGCACCUUUAAAAUCAGCCACCAAUCAAAUCAAAAGAAGAAGAAGAAGCUUUUCCUACAAGAAAAAUCCUGAUCCAUACUUUAUUCCAGUUGGUGGCGGUAAUGAAACAGUUUGGCUGCAAUCCGCAAAUAAACACCAGAGAAGAAGAAGUAGAGCCGAUGACGUCAGCACUCGCGCACGCUUCAGUUCAGCGGUUUUCUGAGAGACGUAAUUAGACUCCGCCCAUGCAUUUCCAUUCCUCGCUGGUGAAAUCCAUGAAGACGUUGCCAUUAUCCUCGUGUGGCUUUGAAAGUCAUUGGGAAAUUUUGCUUGCCACCUAAUGCAAAAGUUACAUACAAGGAUGCAACAGGGACAGAAGUCGAUGCAGAAAUAUUCAGCGACCUCAUUGGACAAGGCAAUGUGGUGCUGACUGUUUGCUCAAAUGAUGAAUUUUCAGACUCUUUGUCUUCCAUAUCUGAGAAGUCUGACAAAAGCAACAGUUCAAGUGCAUCAACUGUAAUCUUUCAUGAGGUCCCUAACAAGAGACAAAGAAAAGAGGACACGUCUGCACUGUCUGCAAAACAGGCAACUCCGUACUUAAGCUAUCAGAGAACAGUAUGCUGUUUGCGUAGUGAUACUGUUCCCUCAAAGAUCCAUAUUCCAAGAAAGGCUACGAACACUUUUAUGAUGCUGCAAGCAACAUAGGAUAUAUUGCUUGGCAUAUGGAAACAGUCCACAGGAAGAUGAGACGAGACGAGAAAUGGCAUCCCUUCUUUAACUGAUACAUCUCCUUCCACCAUCACCAGGAGGAUUGAAGUCUCCAAAAACAGUCCAUGUGAUGCUGCUGAAAGACUUGUAAUCUUUCAUAAGUCAUGCUGCAGUUUGGAGGAGCCCCUCAACAACAUCCAGCAUCAGCAUCCCUACCUCCUUGCUGUUGGACGCCAGAAAAGCAAGACUGAGUGCUUCUACAUCAUCUUGGAUAAGCAUCUCAUCCCAUGCCAGG